This is a non-coding RNA of Cherax quadricarinatus, 5440 nucleotides long. NCBI's taxonomy places the organism in Eukaryota, Metazoa, Arthropoda, Malacostraca, Decapoda, Parastacidae. The record is from RefSeq and is a predicted model, not a curated record.
CUUCGCAUCCACGCUGGCAAUUUGAUCAGGCAAAUUGGAACCUUUACUCACACCUAGCUGUUUUUAGAGAGGUUCCUUCUUCGUCCUCCAUCGAUGAGCUUUUACACCUCUUCUCGUCCUCCGUUUUAACCGCAGCUUCUAAUUGUAUACCCCAAACUUCGGGCAGGCAUUCUUAGAAAUGCGUGCCUUGGUGGUCUCAUGCUUGUGCUCGUGCAGUACGUUUGAAACGCGCUGCAUGGGGCAGGUACCGGUACAAUAGAACCACAGAGAGACUUCUUGAUUUUAAGCAGAAGCGUGCGAUCACUCGCUGUAUCAUCCGUGACGCUAAACGCACUUGCUGGCGAGAUUAUGUCUUCACCAUCACCUCUGCUUCCUCUAUGAGUGCAGUCUGGAAAAAAGUAUGAAAACUGAGUGGUAAAUAUUCUCCUGACCCGGCUCCUGUUCUGCAGGUUGCCUGUGUUGAUAUAGCAAACCCACUAGAUGUUGCCAAUGAAAUUGGCAAUCAUCUGGUCCGUAUUUCUCAGGGACUCCAUCUAUGCCCCUCAUUUCUUUCCUCAAAGUCUGCCAGAGAGUUAGCACCCUUGGACUUUUCUUCUCUCAGAGAAGAACAGUAUAAUGUGCCUUUUACACUUCAAGAACUGGAGGCAACACUCUCAGCUUGCCAAUCAUCGGCAGCUGGGCCCGACGACAUUCAUACUCGUAUGCUAAAACAUUUACAUCAGUGAGCCCUUGCAGUCCUAUUAUGCCUUUACAAUCUUAUUUGGUCACAAGGAGUUCUUCCACAGCUGUGGAAAUCCGCCAUUGUUCUCCCUUUCCGCAAACCAGGCACUACGGGACAUGAAGCCUCCCACUAUCAUCCCAUUGCUCUUACCAGUGCAGUUUGCAAAGUGAUGGAACACCUAGUAAAUAGACGUUUAGUGUGGUAUUUAGAGCCACCAACAGUCUCUCCACUCGUCAAUAUGGCUUUCGUAAGGGACGUUCUACCAUAGACCCCUUACUACGCUUGGAUACGUAUGUUCGUAAUAACCACUCAGUUAUUGCCAUAUUUUUUGACCUUGAGAAGGCAUAUGACAACUUGGAGGUAUAAUAUUUUAGCCCAAGCCCACUCCUUAGGCCUUCGAGGCAAUCUACCAUCCUUCCUUAAGAACUUUUUAACUGACAGGCAUUUCCGUGUUCAGGUUAAUAAUGUGCUCUCCCCGGACUUUAUUCAAGCUGAAGGUGUCCCCCAGGGAUGUGUUCUGAGCACAACACUUUUUCUCCUUGCUAUUAAUGAUUUGGCCUCUAGUCGUCCAUCAAAUAUUUGGUCAUCACUCUAUGUUGAUGACUUCGCUAUUGCCUGUGCAGGCGCUGACUGUCACCUCAUUACAGUUUCUCUCCAGCAUGCAGUCGACCAUGUUUCCAAUUGGGCCACCACACAUGGGUUUAAAUUUUCAGCACUAAAACCCACCAAAUUACUUUCACUAGACGCUCUGUCAUCUCCGAUCAUCCUUUGUACCUCUAUGGCUCCCGUAUCCCUGAACGUGAUACAGUCAAGUUUCUGGGCCUCCUCUUUGACCGUAGGUUAUCCUGGAAACCUCACAUUACCUCUCUGAAGGCAACUUGUCACAGCCGGCUGAACCCUCUUAAAACCCUUGCUCAUCUUUCAUGGGGAGCUGAUCGUCGAACCCUCCUUCGCCUACAUUCCACCCUCAUUUUAUCGAAACUUGAUUAUGGUGACCAGAUCUAUUCAGCGGCAUCUCCUGCUACUCUCUCUAGCCUUAAUCCCAUUCAUCACCAAGGAUUACGUUUAUGCCUCGGUGCUUUUCGCUCUUCCCCUGUCGAGAGCCUUUAUGCAGAAGCGAACGUUCCAUCCUUAUCCGAUCGCCGUGAUGCCCAUUGCCUUCGCUACUAUGUACGCUCUCAUGAUCGCAAUCCUUCCAUUUAUAGAAUGGUCACUGAUAUUAGUAGACAUUCUUUAUUUGUUCGCCGCCCCUGUUUACUCCGUCCCUUCUCUCUUCGCCUUCAUUCGCUCUUGUCUUCUCUUCAAUUACCACCUUUCUAUGUUCAUGUAGCAUCUCACUUUUCCCUACCCCCCUGGGAAGUUCCAGCCGUUCGAGUCUGUUCUUUCUCCCUUGCUCGAAAGCCCAACUGUCUACGGUCGCUUCUCGCUCUCUUUUUCUUGACCACUUUCACUCUUUCUCAUGCCAUUGCUGUGUACACAGAUGGCUCUAAGUCUUCUGACAGCGUAGGAUUCGCAGCAGUGUUUCUGGACAGCGUCGUACGAGGGCAUUUACUAUCUUCGGCUAGUAUUUUUACUGCUGAAUUGUAUGCCAUCCUUGCAGCACUUACCUGUAUUGCAUCUAUGCCUGUGUUAUCAUUUGUGGUUGUCUCAGACUCCCUUAGUGCUUUACAGGCUAUACAGAAAUUUGAUACACCUCACCCCUUAGUCCUCCGUAUCCAACUUUGGCUACGCCGCAUCUUUACCAAGCAUAAAGAUAUUGCUUUUUGUUGGGUCCCUGGUCAUGUUGACGUACAGGGCAAUGAACAGGCAGACACUGCUGCGCAGUCAGCAGUACAUGACCUACCGUUUCAUAUAGAGGUAUUCCAUUUACGGACUAUUUUGCUGCAAUAUCUUCCCACCUUCACACCCGUUGGCAACAACGUUGGUCUACUAUGCUCGGCAACAAACUUCAAUCUAUUAAACCGAGUAUAGGUUACUGGCCGUCUUCUUAUCACCAGUGUCGAGGUUGGGAGACUACUCUCUCCCAUCUUCACAUUGGCCAUACUCGUCUUACUCAUGGAUAUCUCGUGGAGAGGCGCCCUGCUCCUCUCUGUGAGAAUUGCCAAGCUCUAUUAUCAGUCAGCCACAUUCUGUUGGACUGCCCACUUUAUCAACGAGCACGCAGAAUUUACCUCCGUCGUCGUCUUCGCUCCGCUGCUCUCUCUUUACCUUCCCUUCUCGCUGAUGGACCCACCUUUCAUCCGGGCUCUCUCAUUGACUUUUUGACAACAACUGACUGACUUCACAAAUUCUGAUACCUUCAGCCCUUUCUACCCUCUACCCCCUGCCCUGCUGUUUUCUGUAACCUACUGAUCAUCCCUCCUCCCUUCUGCCAUCCAAUACCCUCGCUUCCUUCCCUGCCCUGCAGCGCUGUAUAGCCCUUGUGGCUUAGCGCUUCUUUUUGAUUAUAAUAAUAACACGGUUCCGUUUGCAGGCGCGGAAAAAAUCUCCCCACCUCAAGCUGCUGCCUUGUUGUGGGUCAGCGGGGAAGACCUACUGCCAUCCCCUGACACCCCUAUCCCAGCCUUCAUGAAUGUGUUCAGUUCCAUUGUCUUAGGAGCUAGUUGUGUUUGUGAAUUGUUUUGAUCUUUUAAUUGCCAUAUCGUGUAUCUGCCAAGCAAUCAAGGCACCCAAUAGGCAUACGCGUAUUGCAGAAAGUAGCAAGAAAAGGUACGAGUGUUUAAGUCUUAGAAUUAAUGAAGAAGAUAGAGAUAUUAGAUAAGAGAUUGACACUUCAUUAAGGUCAUAGGCUCUUUGUACAGUUAAAAAGAAUGAGGUAAAUAUACGAGUUUGUGUGAUGACUUACUUGCCGACUUAUUUUACUGAUUUAAAGUUAGACUUUUUCACUGAAGAGGACCCUGACAAAUUUAGAAGCAGUGCUCUGAAAGUGUCUAGAGCAGCCAAUGCCUUACCGUACUGCAGGGUAAAAUAGAACAGAAAUCCAUUACAGAAUUUAUGCACACUUCAGUACCAGAACCGUUACCAUCCACCUCAGCCCAGUAGGGCCACAGCAUAACUCCUUCACAAUCAACAACAAACACCAGCACCCACAAUUUAUGGUAAGAAAUACUAUUAUUUCUGUUGCGUUUUAUCUCUACCAAACAUAAAGAUAUUGUUUUUUGUUGGGUCCCUGGUCAUGUCGACGUACAGGGCAAUGAACAGGCAGACACUGCUGCGUGGUCAGCAGUACAUGACCUACCAAUUUCCUAUCGAGGUGUUCCAUUUCUGGACUAUUUUGCUGCAAUAGCUACCCACCUUCGCACCCGUUGGCAACAACGUUGGUCAACUCUGCUCGGUAACAAACUUCAUUCUAUUAAACCGAGCAUAGGUUACUGGCCGUCUUCUUGUCAUCAGUGCCGAGGUUGGGAGACCACUCUCUCCCGCCUUCGCAUUGGCCACACUCGUCUUACUCAUGGGUAUCUCAUGGAGAGGCACCCUGUUCCUCUCUGUGAGCAGUGUCAAGUUCCAGUAUCGAUUAGCCACAUUCUGUUAGACUGCCCUCUCUAUCAACGAGCACGCAGAAUUUACCUCCAACGUCGUCUUCGUUCUACUACUCUUUACCUUCCCUUCUUGCUGAUGGACCUUCCUUUAAUCCUGACUCUCUCAUUGACUUCUUGACAACGACUGAUUUACUCCACAAACUCUGAUACUUUUCGCACUCCCCUCAGCCCUUUCUAGUUCAGUCUCUUGCUGCCCUUUACCCUUUCACCAUCCACUGCCCUGCUGUUAUCCGUAACCUAUUACUCAUCCAUCUCCCUUUUGCCACCUGAUGCCCUCGCUUCCUUCCUGCCCUGCAGCGCUGUAUAGUCCUUGUGGCUUAGCGCUUCUUUUUGAUUAGUCUUAAGCAGUAAAAAUAACAUAAUACAAUGAACUACAAUUACAUAUUCACUUAUUUUUGUAAGAUCUGGAGGUCUAAAAAAAAAAAAAGUUUGGGUUUUUUGGGGGGCUCCCAGGUAUAUAACCCUAUUUUUCCCACAAGUUCUUCGGUUUAACACGAAUUUACCUAACAUGGCAUUUUCAGGAAUGUAACCACCACGUAAUAUAACAAUCUACUGUAUUUAUUUUAGGAUAAUAAAAUGCAGUCUGACUAAUUUGAUGUUAUUAUAGGACUUAUUGUUAACAAAUAUAUAAAUAUGUACACAAUCUUGCUACAAACUAUUUCGCUGUCUUUUGUAACAAGAUACAAUAGGAAUCUUUACACAGCAUGGAAUUGUUAGCUUGAUGGGGGCAUCCCUGCCUUGGCUUGUGCUUUGUAGGACCUAACCAGCAUGGCCUAUUUCCUUAAUAUAAGACUUACAAAGUCAAAGAAUGCAGGCCACACUGUACCUGGAAUGAAUGCCUUAAAUGGUAUAUUGUCAGUACAAGACAAAGGAUAGUACAGUGUAGCCCCAGUUUUAUAGACUAGCCAGCUGGUGUCUUCAGUUGUAGACUCCUCUGGGAAAGGUAAAAAAUAUUUUGAAAUGACUGAUUCUGAAGAAUUACCCAUGUAACAAUAACACAUAGGUUGUCAGUCACACAUGCCGGUAGUCUGCCCCCAAACACAUCACAGAUAUAAUCUCUUGUCUCCAUUGCUACCUCAGUUACCUAACCAAAGGUCUUGCAUCAGUUAUAUUCAAGUACUGUUAUUGUUCAUUAGUAUAAAAAAAAAAAAGGCACAAGCCUUGAACACUUGUGUUUGCU